This 253-nucleotide ribosomal RNA is filed under the name uncultured bacterium. Its description in RNAcentral is "partial 16S ribosomal RNA". It matches the Rfam family "Bacterial small subunit ribosomal RNA", at positions 524 to 776 of the family's 1533-position model. The record is from RNAcentral.
UACGUAGGGUGCAAGCGUUAAUCGGAAUUACUGGGCGUAAAGCGCGCGCAGGCGGUUUCUCAAGUCAGUGGUGAAAGCCCGGAGCUCAACUCCGGAACUGCCAUUGAAACCGUGAAACUUGAGGACGAGAGAGGUGAGUGGAAUUCCCAGUGUAGAGGUGAAAUUCGUAGAUAUUGGGAAGAACACCGGUGGCGAAGGCGGCUCACUGGCUCGUUUCUGACGCUCAGGCGCGACAGCGUGGGGAUCAAACAGG